Pelobates cultripes (western spadefoot toad) is the source of this 157-nucleotide non-coding RNA. The record is from the annotation of a GenBank genome assembly. Lineage: Eukaryota; Metazoa; Chordata; Amphibia; Anura; Pelobatidae.
GCAGACACAUUCCAGCCAAUCAGCAGCAGACCCUCCCUCCCAGGCCCUCCCACCUCCUGGACAGCAUCCAUUUUGAAGCUGCAUUCUUAGUGAGCUGUCCAGGAGGUGGGAGGGUCUGGGAGGGAGGGUCUGCUGCUGAUUGGCUGGAAUGUGUCUG